Molecule: long non-coding RNA, 1015 nt
Filed under: Sus scrofa (pig)
Lineage: Eukaryota; Metazoa; Chordata; Mammalia; Artiodactyla; Suidae
Description: lncRNA (ENSSSCG00070028290.1)
Source: RNAcentral
AGCUGAAAUUUUUUAUGAAAAGUAAAAUAUCUUAGAUACCUGAAAUAUUUUGCAAAAACAAUUUUUAAAAUGUCAUUAUAAGAACAGAUUUAUUGUUGCCAAGGGGAAGGGCAGGGGGAGGAGUGGGAUUGACUGGGAGUUUUGGGUUAAUAGAUGCAAACUUACAUUUAGAAUGGAUAGGCAGUGAGGUCAUACUGUAUAGCACAGGGAAUUAUACCCAGUAUCUUGGGAUAGACCAUGAUGGAAGAUAAUAUGAAAAGGAGAAUGUAUAUAUAUGUAUGACUGGGUCACUUUGCUGUCCAGCAAAAAUUAGCACAACAUUGUAAAUCAAUUAUACUUUAAUUUUUAAAAAAAUAUUAUCUGUCCUAUUCAGAUCUGUUUCAGGAUUAUUUGUGUUGAGGAAAAGUGAUUAGGUGGGCAGGAAAGGAUAAAGUUUAGGUGGAAAAGAUUUAAUAAAUCUUAAUAAUUGAAUUAAUAAUUGUAGGAAGUGGGUGAUGAGGACAAGGAGGUCAUGUUUUUCUACUUCUGUAUAUGUUUGAAUUGCAGGAGAUCAGAACAUGCCAUCCCCAAAUACGGAACUUUAGGACAUUGAUUAUUUUUUGUGCUGAAGGCUCUUGAGAAACAGCAGAUGCAGGAAGGGGUUUCUGACCUCCCCCUUUCUACCUAAAAGCAGGGCAUAAAAUUUUCCAUAAGGAAGAUGCUGUCUCUAUACCAGAAGGAGAACAUUCUUAUCAUGGGAGAUGGGGAAAUGAUGCCAAGAAAAAAAAAUGACCCUUGUCUUCUAUGAUUUUCCCUUUCCAUCUCUUUUCUUUAGUGCCUCCUGAGUCUCUAUCACCCUACAGUCCCCAGGACAACUGGACAUGAGAAAGGCAUUAUUACCACACUCAACAAAUAGCCCCAACCUCAGGAUACUGAAGAUGGUGACUCUGCUGAUGUUUUGCCUCCAGGAAGAUCACAUGCUACCAGUUGAAAGAACUUAAGGAGAUCUCAGUCAACCCUUCCAGGAAAGUGCACA